UACAGAGGGUGCAAGCGUUAAUCGGAAUUACUGGGCGUAAAGGGCGCGUAGGCGGGCGUUUAAGUUAAAUGUAAAAUACCUGGGCUUAACCUGGGGGUGUCAUUUAAUACUGAAGGUCUAGAGUAUAAUAGAGGGUGGCGGAAUUUCCGGUGUAGCGGUGAAAUGCGUAGAUAUCGGAAAGAACAUCAGUGGCGAAGGCGGCCACCUGGAUUAAUACUGACGCUGAGGCGCGAAAGCGUGGGGAGCAAACAGG
RNAcentral lists this ribosomal RNA (253 nucleotides) under uncultured bacterium. Its description in RNAcentral is "partial 16S ribosomal RNA". It matches the Rfam family "Bacterial small subunit ribosomal RNA", at positions 524 to 776 of the family's 1533-position model. The record is from RNAcentral.